RNAcentral lists this ribosomal RNA (443 nucleotides) under uncultured bacterium. Its description in RNAcentral is "partial 16S ribosomal RNA". It matches the Rfam family "Bacterial small subunit ribosomal RNA", at positions 338 to 795 of the family's 1533-position model. The record is from RNAcentral.
CCUACGGGCGGCAGCAGUGGGGAAUCUUGGGCAAUGGAGGAAACUCUGACCCAGCAACGCCGCGUGAAUGAUGAAUGCCUUCGGAUUGUAAAGUUCUUUUCUAAGGGCAGUAGAAUGUGACGGUACCUUAGGAAUAAGCUUCUGCUAACUAUGUGACAGCAGCCGCGGUAAGACGUAGGAGGCGAGCGUUAUCCGGAAUGACUGGGUGUAAAGGGUGCGUAGGUGGUUUGGCAAGUCAGUAGCGAAAGUACGAGGCUCAACCGGAGUAUUGCAACUAAUACGGGUAGACUUGAGUACAGGAGAGGUAGGCGGAAUUCCGGGUGUAGCGGUGAAAUGCGUAGAUAUUAGGAGGAACACCGAUGGCGAAGGCGGGUUACUAGACUGUAACUGACACUGAGGCACGAAAGCGUGGGGAGCAAACAGGAUUAGAUACCCGUGUAGUC